CUGCCACGUGGCCUCGUCUGCCUUCCUGACCUGAAAUCCCCCUCUCUUCCUCCCCUUGUUCUGAGCUCUGAGUGUUGGUCCUGAGGCUGUUCCAGCAGGAUGGAGGUGAUGGCCGGAAAAGGUGAAGAGAGCCGUCGUGGCAUCAGUGGACCUGGGUUCCCGUGCCAGCCAUGUCUGUUACAUGGCAAUCUCCCCAGCACUUCUGAACCUCAGGGAAUUACCGGAAACAUUGGUGUGACAAUAAUUCACCUUUCAGGGCGGGAGAGAGGACAACAGCAGUGUUAGUCGGGAAAGCUGUAGCUUUGGAGCCUGACUCUCCUUUGAAUCCUGGAGCUUCCUCCUUUUGGCUGUGUGACUUUGACAAAACACUCACCCAGUGCGUUUUCAUUUCCUCAAGAGCAAAAUAUUUGAGACAUCGUGUGCAUGAAGCACUUUGCACUGUGCGUGACACACUAAGAGCUGAUGGUAGCGGUGUGGCCAUAUUUACACAUGGAAGAAAGGCCGCAAAGAAAAUUCCAGACACUGUGGUGGUGUUACGGUGCUUUCCCCACUUCUUCCCACCCUUGCACAUGUGAUGCUCUCUACAUAAGUGAGUUUUCAACAGCCCCUGUUUGUGACCGGGAGAGCUCAAUUUUAGCUCCUGAAAUAAGAAUGGCUUCAACUCCUUGUACUGGUGGGUGCUUCGGACCUGUUACUGCAUGGGAACCUGGACUCUUUAUUGAUUCUGAGUGUUUCUGGAUAGAAAACCUUCUCUAGAUACACUCAUUUCCACGUGGCUUUUUUCCUUCUUGUUUAAGGAAAUGGGGAUACAGAUGUGCACAUUACACUUGAGCUUGGCUAAACUUUUCAAACGGAUUUAUAUAUGUUUUGGUGGCUGUUUUCAUUUUGAGGCAGAGUAGACACCCUUUUCCUUCCACUAAGUAAACUAAAGUCCCUAGUCAUUAUAUAGGAAACAAAUAUAAGGAGACUCUGAAUAAUAGAGAGAAGGAAGUAGAUGCCCAGAGAUGUUAGGACCCGAGGAAUGACACAAUGGUACAUUCUGUGGGUUUUCUUUUUGCCUCAUAUAUACUAGACAUGGAGCUGAAAAAGCUGACAACCCAGAAACGCCAGUUGGCACAGACAGAAAGCCCUUUUGCUAUAGGGCCAGGAGAAGAGCAACAGAACAAAACAGAAAACUUUACAAUAACUUAUCUUCUCUAGCAAAAGAUGACAAAAUAGAUAUAAAAUACAUAAACCUACAAAUUCCAGAAGCUGCACGAACCUCAAGCAGAAUAAACCCAAGUAAAUUUACACCAAGAUAUAGCAUCAUCAAAUUUCUAAAAACUAAAGAUUAAAAAAAAAUGAAGGCAACAAUAAAAAAGUGGACCUUACCUAGAGGAAAGAAAUAAUUUUGAUGACUUUGGAUUUUUUUUUAUGAGAAC
Molecule: long non-coding RNA, 1421 nt
Filed under: Macaca fascicularis (crab-eating macaque)
Lineage: Eukaryota; Metazoa; Chordata; Mammalia; Primates; Cercopithecidae
Description: lncRNA (ENSMFAG00000064977.1)
Source: RNAcentral